AAGAGUUGCAAAACUCCCUUAAACCAUCGCGAACGUUACCCCACAACCGUUGCUUCGGCGGGCAGGCCAACCCCUCACGGGGCGUCUCCCCGGCCCCCUCGCGGGGCGCUCGCCGGAGCGGCACAACCAAACUCUUAUAAUUAUUGGCCUCUCUGAGUAAGAUUUUUAAAUAAGUCA
This 177-nucleotide unclassified non-coding RNA is filed under the name uncultured Lasiosphaeriaceae. RNAcentral's name for it is "sequence contains ITS1". The record is from RNAcentral. Lineage: Eukaryota; Fungi; Ascomycota; Sordariomycetes; Sordariales; Lasiosphaeriaceae.